RNAcentral lists this ribosomal RNA (1460 nucleotides) under metagenome. RNAcentral describes it as "bacterial SSU rRNA". It matches the Rfam family "Bacterial small subunit ribosomal RNA". The record is from RNAcentral.
AGAGUUUGAUCCUGGCUCAGAACGAACGCUGGCGGCAGGCUUAACACAUGCAAGUCGAACGAGUAAGAGCCGUAGCAAUACGGAGUUCUGCUAGUGGCGCACGGGUGAGUAACGCGUGGGAAUAUGCCCUUUAGUACGGAAUAACAGUUGGAAACGACUGCUAAUACCGUAUACGCCCUUCGGGGGAAAGAUUUAUCGCUAAAGGAUUAGCCCGCGUGAGAUUAGGUAGUUGGUGGGGUAAUGGCCUACCAAGCCUACGAUCUCUAGCCGGUCUGAGAGGACGAUCGGCCACACUGGAACUGAGACACGGUCCAGACUCCUACGGGAGGCAGCAGUGGGGAAUAUUGGACAAUGGGCGAAAGCCUGAUCCAGCCAUGCCGCGUGAGUGAUGAAGGCCUUAGGGUUGUAAAGCUCUUUUGUCAGGGAAGAUAUUGACGGUACCUGAAGAAUAAGCACCGGCUAACUUCGAGCCAGCAGCCGCGGUAAUACGAAGGGUGCUAGCGUUGUUCGGAAUUACUGGGCGUAAAGCGCGCGCAGGCGGUCUAUCAAGUCAGAGGUGAAAUGCCGAAGCUCAACUUCGGAACUGCCUUUGGAACUGUUAGACUAGAAUAUGGGAGGGGAUAGCGGAAUUCCUAAUGUAGAGGUGAAAUUCGUAGAUAUUAGGAGGAACACCGGUGGCGAAGGCGGCUAUCUGGCCCAUUAUUGACGCUGAGGCGCGAAGGCGUGGGGAUCAAACAGGAUUAGAUACCCUGGUAGUCCACGCUGUAAACGAUGAGUGCUAGCUGUUGGGACCUUAGGUCUCAGUGGCGCAGCUAACGCAUUAAGCACUCCGCCUGGGGAGUACGGUCGCAAGAUUAAAACUCAAAGGAAUUGACGGGGACCCGCACAAGCGGUGGAGCAUGUGGUUUAAUUCGAGGCAACGCGAAGAACCUUACCAGGACUUGACAUGUCCAGUUUGGAUUUCAGAAAUGAUUUCCUUCAGUUUGGCUGGCUGGAACACAGGUGCUGCAUGGCUGUCGUCAGCUCGUGUCGUGAGAUGUUGGGUUAAGUCCCGCAACGAGCGCAACCCUCAUCUUUAGUUGCUACCAUUUAGUUGAGCACUCUAAAGAAACUGCCGGUGAUAAGCCGGAGGAAGGUGGGGAUGACGUCAAGUCUUCAUGGCCCUUAUGUCCUGGGCUACACACGUGCUACAAUGGCAGUGACAAUGCGCCGCUACCUCGCGAGGGGAAGCUAAUCGCAAAAAGCUGUCUCAGUUCGGAUUGUACUCUGCAACUCGAGUACAUGAAGUUGGAAUCGCUAGUAAUCGCGCAUCAGCAUGGCGCGGUGAAUACGUUCCCGGGUCUUGUACACACCGCCCGUCACACCAUGGGAGUUGGUUCUACCUUAAGCUGCUGUGCUAACCGCAAGGAGGCAGGCAACCACGGUAGGGUCAGUGACUGGGGUGAAGUCGUAACAAGGUA